Molecule: transfer RNA, 70 nt
Filed under: Fulicoffula longipila
Lineage: Eukaryota; Metazoa; Arthropoda; Insecta; Psocodea; Philopteridae
Description: tRNA-Trp
Source: RNAcentral
UAGGAGUAAGUUAAUCAAACUAAUGUGGUUCAAACACAUCAAUGGUGUUUUCAAUCUGGCAUCUUCCUUG